This 926-nucleotide ribosomal RNA is filed under the name Escherichia coli. RNAcentral describes it as "partial 23S ribosomal RNA". It matches the Rfam family "Bacterial large subunit ribosomal RNA", at positions 612 to 1541 of the family's 2925-position model. The record is from RNAcentral. Lineage: Bacteria; Pseudomonadati; Pseudomonadota; Gammaproteobacteria; Enterobacterales; Enterobacteriaceae.
AUAAUGGGUCAGCGACUUAUAUUCUGUAGCAAGGUUAACCGAAUAGGGGAGCCGAAGGGAAACCGAGUCUUAACUGGGCGUUAAGUUGCAGGGUAUAGACCCGAAACCCGGUGAUCUAGCCAUGGGCAGGUUGAAGGUUGGGUAACACUAACUGGAGGACCGAACCGACUAAUGUUGAAAAAUUAGCGGAUGACUUGUGGCUGGGGGUGAAAGGCCAAUCAAACCGGGAGAUAGCUGGUUCUCCCCGAAAGCUAUUUAGGUAGCGCCUCGUGAAUUCAUCUCCGGGGGUAGAGCACUGUUUCGGCAAGGGGGUCAUCCCGACUUACCAACCCGAUGCAAACUGCGAAUACCGGAGAAUGUUAUCACGGGAGACACACGGCGGGUGCUAACGUCCGUCGUGAAGAGGGAAACAACCCAGACCGCCAGCUAAGGUCCCAAAGUCAUGGUUAAGUGGGAAACGAUGUGGGAAGGCCCAGACAGCCAGGAUGUUGGCUUAGAAGCAGCCAUCAUUUAAAGAAAGCGUAAUAGCUCACUGGUCGAGUCGGCCUGCGCGGAAGAUGUAACGGGGCUAAACCAUGCACCGAAGCUGCGGCAGCGACGCUGAUGCGUUGUUGGGUAGGGGAGCGUUCUGUAAGCCUGCGAAGGUGUGCUGUGAGGCAUGCUGGAGGUAUCAGAAGUGCGAAUGCUGACAUAAGUAACGAUAAAGCGGGUGAAAAGCCCGCUCGCCGGAAGACCAAGGGUUCCUGUCCAACGUUAAUCGGGGCAGGGUGAGUCGACCCCUAAGGCGAGGCCGAAAGGCGUAGUCGAUGGGAAACAGGUUAAUAUUCCUGUACUUGGUGUUACUGCGAAGGGGGGACGGAGAAGGCUAUGUUGGCCGGGCGACGGUUGUCCAGGUUUAAGCGUGUAGGCUGGUUUUCCAGGCAAAU